RNAcentral lists this ribosomal RNA (1171 nucleotides) under uncultured Bacteroides sp. RNAcentral's name for it is "bacterial SSU rRNA". It matches the Rfam family "Bacterial small subunit ribosomal RNA", at positions 10 to 1176 of the family's 1533-position model. Lineage: Bacteria; Pseudomonadati; Bacteroidota; Bacteroidia; Bacteroidales; Bacteroidaceae. The record is from RNAcentral.
AGUUUGAUCCUGGCUCAGGAUGAACGCUAGCUACAGGCUUAACACAUGCAAGUCGAGGGGCAGCAUGGUCUUAGCUUGCUAAGACUGAUGGCGACCGGCGCACGGGUGAGUAACACGUAUCCAACCUGCCGUCUACUCUUGGACAGCCUUCUGAAAGGAAGAUUAAUACAAGAUGGCAUCAUGAGUCCGCAUGUUCACAUGAUUAAAGGUAUUCCGGUAGACGAUGGGGAUGCGUUCCAUUAGAUAGUAGGCGGGGUAACGGCCCACCUAGUCUUCGAUGGAUAGGGGUUCUGAGAGGAAGGUCCCCCACAUUGGAACUGAGACACGGUCCAAACUCCUACGGGAGGCAGCAGUGAGGAAUAUUGGUCAAUGGGCGAGAGCCUGAACCAGCCAAGUAGCGUGAAGGAUGACUGCCCUAUGGGUUGUAAACUUCUUUUAUAAAGGAAUAAAGUCGGGUAUGUAUACCCGUUUGCAUGUACUUUAUGAAUAAGGAUCGGCUAACUCCGUGCCAGCAGCCGCGGUAAUACGGAGGAUCCGAGCGUUAUCCGGAUUUAUUGGGUUUAAAGGGAGCGUAGAUGGAUGUUUAAGUCAGUUGUGAAAGUUUGCGGCUCAACCGUAAAAUUGCAGUUGAUACUGGAUAUCUUGAGUGCAGUUGAGGCAGGCGGAAUUCGUGGUGUAGCGGUGAAAUGCUUAGAUAUCACGAGGAACUCCGAUUGCGAAGGCAGCCUGCUAAGCUGCAACUGACAUUGAGGCUCGAAAGUGUGGGUAUCAAACAGGAUUAGAUACCCUGGUAGUCCACACGGUAAACGAUGAAUACUCGCUGUUUGCGAUAUACUGCAAGCGGCCAAGCGAAAGCGUUAAGUAUUCCACCUGGGGAGUACGCCGGCAACGGUGAAACUCAAAGGAAUUGACGGGGGCCCGCACAAGCGGAGGAACAUGUGGUUUAAUUCGAUGAUACGCGAGGAACCUUACCCGGGCUUAAAUUGCAGAUGAAUUACGGUGAAAGCCGUAAGCCGCAAGGCAUCUGUGAAGGUGCUGCAUGGUUGUCGUCAGCUCGUGCCGUGAGGUGUCGGCUUAAGUGCCAUAACGAGCGCAACCCUUGUUGUCAGUUACUAACAGGUUCCGCUGAGGACUCUGACAAGACUGCCAUCGUAAGAUGUGAGGAAGGUGG